This 69-nucleotide transfer RNA is filed under the name Menidia menidia (Atlantic silverside). Its description in RNAcentral is "tRNA-Pro". It matches the Rfam family "tRNA". From Rfam's summary of the family: Transfer RNA (tRNA) molecules are approximately 80 nucleotides in length. Their secondary structure includes four short double-helical elements and three loops (D, anti-codon, and T loops). The record is from RNAcentral. Lineage: Eukaryota; Metazoa; Chordata; Actinopteri; Atheriniformes; Atherinopsidae.
CAAAGAGUAGUUUAAUAAGAAUCCUAGCUUUGGGAGCUAGGGGCGGGGGUGAGAGUCCCUUCUCUUUGA